UUGCGAAACGGUCCAAGGGGCCGUCGCGUGGGGGUCGCGCCUCACGCCUGAUGAGCAAGCGUAAA
RNAcentral lists this non-coding RNA (65 nucleotides) under Devosia sp. RNAcentral also lists the same sequence under 1 other name. The record is from RNAcentral. Lineage: Bacteria; Pseudomonadati; Pseudomonadota; Alphaproteobacteria; Hyphomicrobiales; Devosiaceae.